CACUGUGCGCCAUGUUAUUGUUUCGGUGAAAAGAAUUUCUACAAUGGCGGACUUACACAAAAUACUCUUAUUGUUAAUUUUGCUGUGUUUAAAUGCUUACUUAUACACACAAAUAUAUAAUAAAUAUACACACAAAGUUACUGUCCCUCCACACAUAGGACUCAGUUCUGCUUCUAUGCGCCAUCUUUGUUUACUCUUUCCCACCGAGGCUUCUAGACUUCGAUUGGCCAAAAUUUCUACACAGUUAGGAAUAUAUCACCACCUGUUGUUUUGGCACGUUCCUGGCAGUGUUUUCCUUCAUUUUCCUUCAGUUUUCAAAAAUACCUGUGUACGUGUGGAUGUAGCCUGAAGCUUCUGUGAUAAAGAUCAAUGACAGGUUUCAUUAUUUGUUUCAGGUUCAUGAAUACACAAAGUUAACCAUUCAGAACCUUCAGCUUGCUGUUUACUACAGUUUCAAAGGCACUGCUGCUCAGGGGUUCCACAGACAGGAAGGUGAAACUCAUAGCUUCAAUCACUUUACCCAGAAGUGCCGCUGGCUGAGCGGCUUAUUGGUGCUGAACAAUCCCCCUCUUCAGCCUAACUGGAAAAAUCAUGAUCCAGGGCAAGAUGCUUGGAACUUUUUCCCACAAAAGAUCACAGCUGAAUCUGCCACAUCACUCUGCCAGGGCCACUCUGAAAAUGUUGUUGGAUAUAGUUUGACAUUCCAGCAUCCAGACGUGAACCAGAGUGAAGAUAAAAUGAUGAUGUGAGUUCCAACCAAGCAUGUCUUUUAUCAUGUCUUCAUUCUCUUACCACAACCGGUCGCUGAAGAUGGCCGCCCCUCUCUGAGUCUGGUUCUGCCUGAGGUUUUCUUUUUUCCCUUCCCACUUCUCCCAAAGUGCUUGCUAUAUGGGACGUAUGAUUGUUGGGUUUUUCUUUGUAUGUAUUAUUGUAGGGUCUACCUUACAAUAUAAGGCAAAUGCUGUUGUGAUUUGACACAGUAUAAAUAAAACUGAAUUGAACAUGAACACCUGUGCCCCUCUGUUGACACGGCCCCCUGAGCUCCCUGCACCACCUCACCACUGCAGCAGGCCAGAAGCCACAAGUUCAAAAAAAAAUUCCCUUAACUGACAGUAGCACUAACUUUGUCAAAGUGGAGGGUGUAGUUUGGUAACACAAUCUGUCCUCAGGUUGGGUGUUGUUAUAUUUGAAAUUAUCUUUUGCUCAUUAUUUCCUCAACUUUUAAACAGCAAGGAUUAAAGUGCUUCAAAAACUGAAGAGAAAACUGCUGUAUAUGAAUAAAGCUGAAUAGAAAACAAGUGUUUAUUCUGCUUUUGCUGUUAAAGGAACUUAAGUCAAAUAAACUACUUAUGACUACAACUAGUCAGGGACUCAAAAUGGAGGACAGAGGAGAGUCAGGUCACGAUGAGUUAGGCAAAUCAGUCCCACAUGUCUUAGUAAAAUACAAAUGAUUUGAAUUUCAAAUUUGAUGUAAAGUUUGUGCUCAUGUAAAAUUUGCAGUCUCUUCUUUGUGUUGUGUGCUGCUUCAGUGCCAAGAUAACCCCAGAGCAAAUAA
Haplochromis burtoni (Burton's mouthbrooder) is the source of this 1555-nucleotide long non-coding RNA. RefSeq lists it as uncharacterized. The transcript has 3 exons. The record is from RefSeq and is a predicted model, not a curated record. NCBI's taxonomy places the organism in Eukaryota, Metazoa, Chordata, Actinopteri, Cichliformes, Cichlidae.